GGGAUUGUGGCUCAGUGGUAGAGCGCUCACCUCGAAUGUAUGAGACCGUGGGUUCAACUCUCAGCACCA
This 69-nucleotide transfer RNA is filed under the name Ictidomys tridecemlineatus (thirteen-lined ground squirrel). RNAcentral describes it as "Spermophilus tridecemlineatus (thirteen-lined ground squirrel) tRNA". It matches the Rfam family "tRNA". From Rfam's summary of the family: Transfer RNA (tRNA) molecules are approximately 80 nucleotides in length. Their secondary structure includes four short double-helical elements and three loops (D, anti-codon, and T loops). The record is from Rfam by way of RNAcentral. Lineage: Eukaryota; Metazoa; Chordata; Mammalia; Rodentia; Sciuridae.